CUCAUCUAGGGGUCUUGUUAAAAUGCAGAUUCUGAUUAAACAGAUUUGAAUCCAAGUGAGCCCUAAGUUUCUGCAUUUCUGACAAGAUCCCAGCUGAUGCUAU
Molecule: microRNA precursor, 103 nt
Filed under: Bos taurus (domestic cattle)
Lineage: Eukaryota; Metazoa; Chordata; Mammalia; Artiodactyla; Bovidae
Also listed under: 1 other name
Description: mir-544 microRNA precursor family
Rfam family: mir-544 microRNA precursor family
Source: Rfam by way of RNAcentral